AGUGAACGCUGGCGGUAGGCCUAACACAUGCAAGUCGAACGGCAGCACAGUAAGAGCUUGCCCCUACGGGUGGCGAGUGGCGGACGGGUGAGGAAUACAUCGGAAUCCACUUUUUCGUGGGGGAUAACGUAGGGAAACUUACGCUACUACCGCAUACGAUCUACGGGUUAAAGCAGUGGAUCUUCGGACCUUGCGCGACUCAAUGAGCCGAUGUCGGAUUAGCUAGUUGGCGGGGUAAAGGCUCACCAAGGCGACGAUCCGUAGCUGGCCUGAGAGGAUGAUCAGCCACACUGGAACUGAGACACGGUCCAGACUCCUACGGGAGGCAGCAGUAGGGAAUCUUCCGCAAUGGGCGAAAGCCUGAUCGAGCCAUACCGCGUGAGUGAAGAAGGCCUUCGGGUUGUAAAACUCUUUUGUUAGGGAAGAAAAACAGCAGAUUUAUCUACCGAUGUUCUGACGGUACCCAAAGAGAAAGCACCGGCUAACUUCGUG
RNAcentral lists this ribosomal RNA (492 nucleotides) under uncultured bacterium. Its description in RNAcentral is "partial 16S ribosomal RNA". It matches the Rfam family "Bacterial small subunit ribosomal RNA", at positions 29 to 507 of the family's 1533-position model. The record is from RNAcentral.